ACAGCUUCUGUGUAGUUUUCUCUCUUGGGAGCUCGGGCACCAUGCUGUGAGAAGGCCCAGGCCUCAGCUCAGCUCCUACAGCCAGCCAGUGAAUACGUCAUGGAAGAACAUAGAUCCAAAAGGCCCCAGGUGAGCUGCCCCAGCUGAUGCCGUAUGAGACACAGGUAAAUACCUAGGAUUGGAAUGGUUGGAUUCUAAGGGCGGUUGAAUGUGAAGGUCCUACAAAUGUGGUCAUGUGGUGUUUUAAACUGUCUAUAACCAACUGCUACGACGUCUGCACAAACCCAGCCCGGAGGUCCCUGAGUGCCAAAGCUGCCCUUCAGGACUCGCGUCCGCUACCUGCAAAGUCCCGAGCGGAUCCUACCCCUGCGGCUGCUGCGACAGAGCUGCUGCCUCACCUGAGGCUUCCACGAACAGCAGGUAUCCAUGAGCCGUGCUGUGAAGGAACACAGGGAGGUCUGGCCCUCUGUGUUUCUGCCCUCGGGGCCCAUCUGGGGUCCCCACUGGCCCGUGCACCAGCCGUUGCCCCCACCCCGCUGGGGCUGCUGCCACACCGCUGCUCCCAGGCUGGGGGGACUGAGCCCUCCCCUUCAGCUGGCGUCCUCCCACUCCCACCAA
Cervus elaphus (red deer) is the source of this 618-nucleotide long non-coding RNA. RefSeq lists it as uncharacterized. The transcript has 3 exons. The record is from RefSeq and is a predicted model, not a curated record. Lineage: Eukaryota; Metazoa; Chordata; Mammalia; Artiodactyla; Cervidae.